This is a non-coding RNA of Podarcis lilfordi (Lilford's wall lizard), 71 nucleotides long. Lineage: Eukaryota; Metazoa; Chordata; Lepidosauria; Squamata; Lacertidae. The record is from the annotation of a GenBank genome assembly.
GGGCCAUAGCUCAGUGGCAGAGUGACUGCUUUGCCGGCAGAAGGUCCCAGGUUCGGUUCCUGACAUCUCCA